Molecule: long non-coding RNA, 1750 nt
Organism: Mustela lutreola (European mink)
Lineage: Eukaryota; Metazoa; Chordata; Mammalia; Carnivora; Mustelidae
Exons: 3
Source: RefSeq, a predicted model, not a curated record
CCCGCACCCGGAGAACAUUAUUUCAACAGACAGAUAUUUGGAAACCGUCGUUGUCCUAGAUAUGGGGGGAGGGGCAGUUCAUCCAGCCCUCGAUCCUGCGAGGGGACGGAUGGGACCAGACUGAGCUGAGCGCCAAUCAGAGCAGCGUACAGCCCCCAACGCCAAUGCCUCGUUUAUUUUCCCGAUGCUCCUGUCCACACCAUUCCUCUACCUGCCGCAGCUUUUAACCAAGACGUGCUCUUCAAAACCUGGUUCAAGUUUCACCACCACUGGGCAACUUCUUGUUUUGGAAUUAAGAGCUUGAAGCCUGACACCAGGGUGCUCCGGCUUUACAGGCAAAUCCCUUAACCUUCGUAAACCCAAGUUUUCUCAUCUGUGACACCAGCUCAGUGGGCUGAAGAACGCCCCCCACGAAGACAUCAGAGUCCACCUCCUGGACAUCUAUGAAACCGUCACCUUACGUGACUGUGAGCCGUUCGAGCAGCUCCCAGGCUUGGGAUCCCCAACUCUGGCACAGAGCAGGUGCUCUACACACAGCGAGCAAAUGAAUGAAUGAAUGAAUGAAGUGCCACUUGUCUGUACGCAAGGUGGCUUUAAUCACACAGCAGAAUCCUAGACAGAGGAAGACAAAAUUCUUGAAGCCAUGGGACCAAGCCUCAGAAUCCAAACGCCAGAAGAGAUCUCUGGAAAUGGUUGGAUCAUUCCUGCAGGGCGGACAGCAAGAUGUCCAAUCAUCCAACGGGUCUAGUCUCCACUCUGAAUUUCCAGGAGGUUUAUCCUGGAGAACAGUAUGAGAAGCGGUGCCCAGCGAUCAUUUUCUAUCUGCAGAAGCAGUCUACACAGCUGGCCGCUGCCUCCAGGCUAGGGGUGGGGGAGCGGGGGUGUCCUGGCAACACUUGCGAUGGGCAGCUGCUGGCGACGGUGAAGCAGACGGUCACCAUGCAGUGGCCUCCACUAUGCGCCAGACAUGGUAUAAAGCACCUACAUCAGUAUUUCGUUUCAUGCUCAAAUAUCUAUUAUUAUUCCUAUUUACCAAGGAAGAAGUUGAAGUUUUGGCAGGCUUCACACAAUUGCCCUUGGUCACACAGAGCGCAAGCAGUUGGGCCAAGAUUCUAACCCCCAUCUGUUGGCCUUGAGAGCCCAUUCUUACAACCACCAGCCGUUACUGCCGGUCCAACCCCCGUGUGCUCAGACUGCAUGUCUUCUGUAGAAGUGCAUAGGACCUUGGGACAGACGCCUGGCAUGCUUGUCCGUGUCCCCAUCCAGAGCCACUUGACAAUAUUACGUGUCAGAUCUGCUCUAGGUCAGGAUUUGCUCCGUUCUCCAUACACCGGGUACGGAGACGUGAGCCAGCCCAGUGGGGACCACAGAUCCUGAACAAUCACCACAGGGUAGUAAGGGCAUGGACAGUGGGGCACAGGAGGCCAUGAGGACCCAGUUGUGGGCAUCUAAAACUGAGGAGCAUCAGACAUAAAGUUUUCUUGGUGACAGCCAAACACAUGGUGGGUUUUGACCCAUUUUGGAAGGGGCUACGCCAAGUCAAGGAAACCAAAUAUACAAAGACCCGGAGGUAAGAGUACAGUACAUUCAGGAAAACACAGGUCAUCUGAGUGACCAAAGGGGAGUCGUGGAGGGAGUGACAAAGCUCAAGCAGGGACCAGAGAUAGAGUUCAGCAUGAAGGAUGCUCUGGGCCCUAAGGGCAAUGGGACCUUAUGGAAGGAGUUGUAAGCAAGGUAAGGACUUGGUGAA